GGGAUUGUGGCUCAGUGGUAGAGCGCUCACCUCGCACGUGAGAGGCCCUGGGUUCGAUCCUCAGAACCACA
RNAcentral lists this transfer RNA (71 nucleotides) under Marmota monax (woodchuck). RNAcentral's name for it is "tRNA.Ala". It matches the Rfam family "tRNA". From Rfam's summary of the family: Transfer RNA (tRNA) molecules are approximately 80 nucleotides in length. Their secondary structure includes four short double-helical elements and three loops (D, anti-codon, and T loops). Further hydrogen bonds mediate the characteristic L-shaped molecular structure. tRNAs have two regions of fundamental functional importance: the anti-codon, which is responsible for specific mRNA codon recognition, and the 3' end, to which the tRNAs corresponding amino acid is attached (by aminoacyl-tRNA synthetases). tRNAs cope with the degeneracy of the genetic code in two manners: having more than one tRNA (with a specific anti-codon) for a particular amino acid; and 'wobble' base-pairing, i.e. permitting non-standard base-pairing at the 3rd anti-codon position. Lineage: Eukaryota; Metazoa; Chordata; Mammalia; Rodentia; Sciuridae. The record is from RNAcentral.